RNAcentral lists this ribosomal RNA (260 nucleotides) under uncultured prokaryote. RNAcentral's name for it is "partial 16S ribosomal RNA". It matches the Rfam family "Bacterial small subunit ribosomal RNA", at positions 524 to 784 of the family's 1533-position model. The record is from RNAcentral.
UACGAAGGGGCUAGCGUUGUUCGGAAUUACUGGGCGUAAAGCGCACGUAGGCGGAUUGUUUAGUGAGGGGUGAAAUCCCAGGGCUCAACCCUGGAACUGCCUCUCAUACUGGCAAUCUCGAGUUCGAGAGAGGUGAGUGGAAUUCCGAGUGUAGAGGUGAAAUUCGUAGAUAUUCGGAGGAACACCAGUGGCGAAGGCGGCUCACUGGCUCGAUACUGACGCUGAGGUGCGAAAGCGUGGGGAGCAAACAGGAUUAGAUA